GCGGUGACAGGUGGUGCAUGGUUGUCGUCAGCUCGUGUCGUGAGAUGUUGGGUUAAGUCCCGCAACGAGCGCAACCCUUGAUCUUAGUUGCCAGCAUUCAGUUGGGCACUCUAAGGUGACUGCCGGUGACAAACCGGAGGAAGGUGGGGAUGACGUCAAAUCAUCAUGCCCCUUAUGACCUGGGCUACACACGUGCUACAAUGGAUGGUACAAAGGGCUGCAAGACCGCGAGGUUUAGCCAAUCCCAUAAAACCAUUCUCAGUUCGGAUUGCAGGCUGCAACUCGCCUGCAUGAAGCUGGAAUCGCUAGUAAUCGCGGAUCAGCAUGCCGCGGUGAAUACGUUCCCGGGCCUUGUACACACCGCCCGUCACACCACGAGAGUUUGCAACACCCGAAG
RNAcentral lists this ribosomal RNA (397 nucleotides) under Domibacillus enclensis. RNAcentral's name for it is "bacterial SSU rRNA". It matches the Rfam family "Bacterial small subunit ribosomal RNA", at positions 1028 to 1426 of the family's 1533-position model. The record is from RNAcentral. Lineage: Bacteria; Bacillati; Bacillota; Bacilli; Caryophanales; Bacillaceae.